RNAcentral lists this ribosomal RNA (457 nucleotides) under uncultured organism. RNAcentral's name for it is "partial 16S ribosomal RNA". It matches the Rfam family "Bacterial small subunit ribosomal RNA", at positions 331 to 799 of the family's 1533-position model. The record is from RNAcentral.
GUACACUCCUGCGGGAGGCAGCAGUGGGGAAUAUUGCACAAUGGGCGGAAGCCUGAUGCAGCAACGCCGCGUGCGGGAUGACGGCCUUCGGGUUGUAAACCGCUUUCGCCUGUGACGAAGCGUGAGUGACGGUAAUGGGUAAAGAAGCACCGGCUAACUACGUGCCAGCAGCCGCGGUGAUACGUAGGGUGCGAGCGUUGUCCGGAUUUAUUGGGCGUAAAGGGCUCGUAGGUGGUUGAUCGCGUCGGAAGUGUAAUCUUGGGGCUUAACCCUGAGCGUGCUUUCGAUACGGGUUGACUUGAGGAAGGUAGGGGAGAAUGGAAUUCCUGGUGGAGCGGUGGAAUGCGCAGAUAUCAGGAGGAACACCAGUGGCGAAGGCGGUUCUCUGGGCCUUUCCUGACGCUGAGGAGCGAAAGCGUGGGGAGCGAACAGGCUUAGAAACCCGGGUAGUCCCAUG